GGUAGUUCAGUGGUUAGAACAUCUGCCUUGCAUGCAGAAGGUCUCAGGUUUGAUCCUGGGCAACA
Non-coding RNA from Podarcis lilfordi (Lilford's wall lizard), 65 nucleotides. Lineage: Eukaryota; Metazoa; Chordata; Lepidosauria; Squamata; Lacertidae. The record is from the annotation of a GenBank genome assembly.